UUAAGCGACUAAGCGUACACGGUGGAUGCCCUGGCAGUCAGAGGCGAUGAAGGACGUGCUAAUCUGCGAAAAGCGUCGGUAAGGUGAUAUGAACCGUUAUARCCGGCGAUGUCCGAAUGGGGAAACCCAGUGYRAUUCGUURCACUAUCGUUAACUGAAUACAUAGGUUAACGAGGCGAACCGGGGGAACUGAAACAUCUAAGUACCCCGAGGAAAAGAAAUCAACCGAGAUUCCCCCAGUAGCGGCGAGCGAACGGGGAGCAGCCCAGAGUCUGAAUCAGCUUGUGUGUUAGUGGAACGGUCUGGAAAGUCCGACGGUACAGGGUGAUAGUCCCGUACACCAAAAUGCACAGGYUGUGAACUCGAAGAGUAGGGCGGGACACGUGGUAUCCUGUCUGAAUAUGGGGGGACCAUCCUCCAAGGCUAAAUACUCCUGACUGACCGAUAGUGAACCAGUACCGUGAGGGAAAGGCGAAAAGAACCCCGGCGAGGGGAGUGAAAAAGAACCUGAAACCGUGUACGUACAAGCAGUGGGAGCACCUUCGGGUGUGACUGCGUACCUUUUGUAUAAUGGGUCAGCGACUUAUAUUCUGUAGCAAGGUUAACCGUAUAGGGGAGCCGCAGGGAAACCGAGUCUUAACUGGGCGUUAAGUUGCAGGGUAUAGACCCGAAACCCGGUGAUCUAGCCAUGGGCAGGUUGAAGGUUGGGUAACACUAACUGGAGGACCGAACCGACUAAUGUUGAAAAAUUAGCGGAUGACUUGUGGCUGGGGGUGAAAGGCCAAUCAAACCGGGAGAUAGCUGGUUCUCCCCGAAAGCUAUUUAGGUAGCGCCUCGUGAAYUCAUCUUCGGGGGUAGAGCACUGUUUCGGCUAGGGGGUCAUCCCGACUUACCAACCCGAUGCAAACUACGAAUACCGAAGAAUGUUAUCACGGGAGACACACGGCGGGUGCUAACGUCCGUCGUGAAGAGGGAAACAACCCAGACCGCCAGCUAAGGUCCCAAAGUCAUGGUUAAGUGGGAAACGAUGUGGGAAGGCACAGACAGCCAGGAUGUUGGCUUAGAAGCAGCCAUCAUUUAAAGAAAGCGUAAUAGCUCACUGGUCGAGUCGGCCUGCGCGGAAGAUGUAACGGGGCUAAACCAUGCACCGAAGCUGCGGCAGCGACACUAUGUGUUGUUGGGUAGGGGAGCGUUCUGUAAGCCUGCGAAGGUGWSCUGUGAGGSWUGCUGGAGGUAUCAGAAGUGCGAAUGCUGACAUAAGUAACGAUAAAGCGGGUGAAAAGCCCGCUCGCCGGAAGACCAAGGGUUCCUGUCCAACGUUAAUCGGGGCAGGGUGAGUCGACCCCUAAGGCGAGGCCGAAAGGCGUAGUCGAUGGGAAACAGGUUAAUAUUCCUGUACUUGGUGUUACUGCGAAGGGGGGACGGAGAAGGCUAUGUUAGCCGGGCGACGGUUGUCCCGGUUUAAGCAUGUAGGCUGRUURUCCAGGCAAAUCCGGAUAAUCAAGGCUGAGGUGUGAUGACGAGGCACUACGGUGCUGAAGUAACAAAUGCCCUGCUUCCAGGAAAAGCCUCUAAGCAUCAGGUAACAUYAAAUCGUACCCCAAACCGACACAGGUGGUCAGGUAGAGAAUACCAAGGCGCUUGAGAGAACUCGGGUGAAGGAACUAGGCAAAAUGGUGCCGUAACUUCGGGAGAAGGCACGCUGGUGUGUAGGUGAAGYCCCUGCGGRUGGAGCUGAGACCAGUCGAAGAUACCAGCUGGCUGCAACUGUUUAUUAAAAACACAGCACUGUGCAAACACGAAAGUGGACGUAUACGGUGUGACGCCUGCCCGGUGCCGGAAGGUUAAUUGAUGGGGUUAUCCGUAAGGAGAAGCUCUUGAUCGAAGCCCCGGUAAACGGCGGCCGUAACUAUAACGGUCCUAAGGUAGCGAAAUUCCUUGUCGGGUAAGUUCCGACCUGCACGAAUGGCGUAAUGAUGGCCAGGCUGUCUCCACCCGAGACUCAGUGAAAUUGAACUCGCUGUGAAGAUGCAGUGUACCCGCGGCAAGACGGAAAGACCCCGUGAACCUUUACUAUAGCUUGACACUGAACAUUGAGCCUUGAUGUGUAGGAUAGGUGGGAGGCUUUGAAGCGUGGACGCCAGUCUGCGUGGAGCCAACCUUGAAAUACCACCCUUUAAUGUUUGAUGUUCUAACGUUGGCCCCUKACCGGGGUUGCGGACAGUGUCUGGUGGGUAGUUUGACUGGGGCGGUCUCCUCCCAAAGCGUAACGGAGGAGCACGAAGGUUAGCUAAUCCUGGUCGGACAUCAGGAGGUUAGUGCAAUGGCAUAAGCUAGCUUGACUGCGAGCGUGACGGCGCGAGCAGGUGCGAAAGCAGGUCAUAGUGAUCCGGUGGUUCUGAAUGGAAGGGCCAUCGCUCAACGGAUAAAAGGUACUCCGGGGAUAACAGGCUGAUACCGCCCAAGAGUUCAUAUCGACGGCGGUGUUUGGCACCUCGAUGUCGGCUCAUCACAUCCUGGGGCUGAAGUAGGUCCCAAGGGUAUGGCUGUUCGCCAUUUAAAGUGGUACGCGAGCUGGGUUUAGAACGUCGUGAGACAGUUCGGUCCCUAUCUGCCGUGGGCGCUGGAGAAUUGAGGGGRGCUGCUCCUAGUACGAGAGGACCGGAGUGGACGCAUCACUGGUGUUCGGGUUGUCAUGCCAAUGGCACUGCCCGGUAGCUAAAUGCGGAAGAGAUAAGUGCUGAAAGCAUCUAAGCACGAAACUUGCCCCGAGAUGAGUUCUCCCUGAGACUUUAAG
RNAcentral lists this ribosomal RNA (2797 nucleotides) under Klebsiella pneumoniae. RNAcentral's name for it is "23S ribosomal RNA". Lineage: Bacteria; Pseudomonadati; Pseudomonadota; Gammaproteobacteria; Enterobacterales; Enterobacteriaceae. The record is from RNAcentral.